CCUACGGGCGGCAGCAGUGAGGAAUAUUGGUCAAUGGGCGAGAGCCUGAACCAGCCAAGUCGCGUGAAGGAUGACGGCCCUACGGGUUGUAAACUUCUUUUGUCAGGGAGCAAUUGAGUCCACGUGUGGGCUUAGCGAGAGUACCUGAAGAAAAAGCAUCGGCUAACUCCGUGCCAGUAGCCGCGGUAAUACGGAGGAUGCGAGCGUUAGCCGGAUUUAUUGGGUUUAAAGGGUGCGUAGGCGGAAUAUCAAGUCAGCGGUAAAAUUUCGGGGCUCAACCCCGCCGUGCCGUUGAAACUGAUGUUCUUGAGUGGGCGAGAAGUAUGCGGAAUGCGUGGUGUAGCGGUGAAAUGCAUAGAUAUCACGCAGAACUCCGAUUGCGAAGGCAGCAUACCGGCGCCCAACUGACGCUGAAGCACGAAAGCGUGGGUAUCGAACAGGAUUAGAUACCCUAGUAGUC
RNAcentral lists this ribosomal RNA (460 nucleotides) under uncultured bacterium. Its description in RNAcentral is "partial 16S ribosomal RNA". It matches the Rfam family "Bacterial small subunit ribosomal RNA", at positions 338 to 795 of the family's 1533-position model. The record is from RNAcentral.